AUAGGGCAGCCUUAGAAGAGCAAAAUCGCAAUUUAAUGGAAAUAAUAAAAUCCAUUCAGGCACCAAGAGCACCGGCAAUAGACGGGAGAGCACUCCACGUCACUCUAUCCAAGUCUUGCCCUAACACCGCUGGAGCAGAUGCAUCAGCUUGGUGUACUACAGUGGACUUAAUUUUUGCGGAUAAUGCUCUCGAAGGCAGUGCGCUUGUGAUUGCGUUAAGCAAAGCAUUAGAAGGCAGUGCAUCGCAAUGGCUGUCCCAAAUAUGCUUCGCUGGUAUCACAUGGCCGCAGUUUAAGGAACUCUUCAUCCAACGUUUUGUGGGCAUUGAGACAACUUCUGCCAUACUGAUGAACAUUUUGAACGGACGUCCCAAAACUGGAGAGAGUUUCGCUGAGUACGACAGUCACAUUGUCACCUUAUUGCUCUCUAAGGCUGAUGUCAGAGUCCGAGCGAGAAGCGAUGCGAUAAUAUUGAGCGAGAACGAGCGAUAAACCAGUGCAAGCUUUUUCAUAAACAAUCGCUCGAAAGAUGUCAGAGUGAGAGCGAAGCGAGUUGCGAGUUCAAGCGAGAUCAAAGCGAGAGAACAGUUUGUAACCUGCUUUAUCGCUUCAACUCUCUCAGAGCGUACGAUUGUUUUGUUGCAUUCUGUGAUUUAAUUACCGUUUUUUUUCAAAGCACGCGUGUUUGAAAGCUCAGAUGGUAAGUUUGUAACUCUAUUUUUAGCUUUAUUUACAGUUUACUCUAAAAUCAUGCGUUUUUUUUGCAUUUGGUGUCAUUUGUGAGAGAACACAAGAACGAAAUGGAUAUCGAAAAUUUAAUUAGUGAAGUAUUUUUACGCCCAGCGCUAUGGGACCAAAAGAGCAAAAACUAUCACAACAGAAUUUUGGUGGAAAAAAAUUGGACAGAAAUUGAAAACAUGUUAGAAACAUCAAUCGCGAAAAGCGUUUCUAAUUAGUUGGCCUGUUUUUAAAUUUACAUGAUUUAAAGUUUCGGCGUUGUUA
Drosophila sulfurigaster albostrigata is the source of this 1001-nucleotide long non-coding RNA. RefSeq lists it as uncharacterized. The record is from RefSeq and is a predicted model, not a curated record. Lineage: Eukaryota; Metazoa; Arthropoda; Insecta; Diptera; Drosophilidae. The transcript has 2 exons.